RNAcentral lists this long non-coding RNA (1326 nucleotides) under Piliocolobus tephrosceles (Ugandan red Colobus). RNAcentral describes it as "lncRNA (ENSPTEG00000013962.1)". The record is from RNAcentral. Lineage: Eukaryota; Metazoa; Chordata; Mammalia; Primates; Cercopithecidae.
AUAAAAAAAAUAAAAAAAAUAAAAAAAUAAAAAAUGAAAUAACAUUAUUAAACAGUUAUAUUUCAUUUUAAUAUACUUUAUUAUAUUUUACUUUUUUAACAACUUAAAACAAAACAUAAAGAACCUUAUGUUGUUAACCGCUAAGUUUAUAAAAAAAAAAAAAAAAUUAUAUAAAUAACAGAAUAAUGUCAAUAAAACACUUUCAUUUUUUAAAGACUGAUAAGAAAAAAAAAAAAAUUAAAAAUAUAUUUACACAAAAUAAAUAAGCGUAGUUAUGGUUCCUCAAAAAUUAAUUGUACAUUACAAUCAUUGUUCUAUAAAAGAUAUUGGUGAUGUUUUUAUAGAUAGUAUAAAUGUUGAAUUAUUCUUUCUAAAAAAUGUUUUAAAUUGUCCCUUCAUACAUUUCGUAAAGGAAUUGCACCCUUUUAGUAAUUAUGGGUCUUUUCCUUAUGCUUUCAAUACAUUAGAAGGAAACAUUUUACGCGACGAGGAAAUAAUUGACUAUAUGAAAAAUCUGUAUGCAUUCGACAGUCUUAAUUAUGAAUUAUACUUAGGAAUAUUAAAAGAAUUAAAAAUUAUAUUGAUUUAUUUUUUAUGGGCCAAUGAUAAAAUUUACAACAAUUAUACAAACAAACUUUAUAACGAUAAUUUUUUUUAUAUUUAUCGCAUUUAUUUAUUAUGGAAAUUAAGGAAGCAAAAUAUUGAAAAAUAUCAAAUGAAAGGAUUAAAUAACUACAAUUUCAAUUUAAAAAGAUUGAAAGAAAUUUUAAAUAUAUUAGAUAGCGUUUUAUGUGAUUCUAAAAAUAUAGAGAAAGGGACAAAUAUAUGUUAUUUCCACAUAGUGUGUUUUUCUAUUUUAUCUAUAUUUUUUUCUAUACCUUUGGAAUGUAAGUUUUAAUCAAUUUUUUUUUUUUUUUUUAUUUAUUUAUUAUCGUACUAUAAAUUGCUUAGAAAAAAAAAGAAAACACCUUCGCAUAACAUAUGUGCCGUUUAUUUUAACUGUACCAUUAUUUUAUUAUGUCAUUUGUUUUAUUACGUCGUUUAUAUUAAUUAUGCGUUUUUGUUUUAAUUAUGCCAUUUAUGCCGAUUCUUCCAAAUAUGUGUGCCUCUCCCUUUCUCCCAUUUUUUUCCCCUUUUUCCCCCUUUUUUAUUUUAUUAUAGAUAACAAAGAGCUACAAGAUGUUUUAUUAUCUAAUCCUCGAUUGAUAAGUUUUGUUGAAAAUUUAAACAAUAGAUAUAAUGUCUGGACAGAUAAAAAGUCGUUUCUUGGAUGUGCCAACAAUAACUGUUAACAUUUUUUAUGAUCCUUUUCUAGUUCUUUGUUAC